RNAcentral lists this ribosomal RNA (603 nucleotides) under Triticum aestivum (bread wheat). Its description in RNAcentral is "partial small subunit ribosomal RNA". Lineage: Eukaryota; Viridiplantae; Streptophyta; Magnoliopsida; Poales; Poaceae. The record is from RNAcentral.
AUGAGGAUGAUUGAGAGAUUUCCUGGGGAGGAGAUGAUAUACUAUAGUUUUGAUCGCGCGGAGGAUGAUCCACACAACUACUACCCUGCAGAAUUCUUGAAUUCAUUGACACCUAAUGGUCUACCUCCCCAUAUCCUCAAGUUGAAGAUUAAUUGUCCUAUUAUAUUGUUACGGAACAUUGACCCAGCGAGUGGGUUGUGCAACGGGACGAGGCUGAUUGUCCGAGGGUUCAUGAGGAAUGCAAUUGAUGCUGAGAUUGUGCUGGGCCAGCAUGCCGGUAAGAGGGUGUUCCUUCCUCGAAUUCCUCUUUGCCCAUCAGAUGAUGAGAUGUUUCCAUUUAGGUUCAAGAGGAAGCAGUUUCCAGUCAGGCUUAGCUUUGCUAUGACCAUUAACAAGGCACAGGGACAAACUAUACCAAAUGUUGGUGUAUACCUCCCUGAACCGGUAUUUUCACACGGGCAACUCUAUGUUGCUCUUUCUAGAGCUAUAUCAAGAAGUAAUAUGAAGAUUCUUACUGUCCCAGAAAAGCAAAAGGAAGGCCAAACCAACUCCAAUGCAAAUUUUACAAAGAACAUAGUCUACAAAGAAGUUCUCAGCGUGUAG